Molecule: unclassified non-coding RNA, 610 nt
Filed under: Hevea brasiliensis (rubber tree)
Lineage: Eukaryota; Viridiplantae; Streptophyta; Magnoliopsida; Malpighiales; Euphorbiaceae
Source: RNAcentral
CUUUUUCUCUCACAAACUCUCAAUCGUCUCCGACUCUUCGUUUCCAGAAAAUGCUGAGAACUCGGUUGCUUUGGUUCACAGUGGGAUUUUCUAUGUCAGCAGCUGCAAUAGGUCAAUUCGUUUGGAGAGAUCUUAUUGCUGAGAGAUACGCCCUUUCAUAUCAAACGCAGCAGGCUUUUGAUGCCCUUGAAGCUAGAGUCUUGAAUCUCGAGUCUAUCUCUUCCCUUAACUCAAAUCCGGAUCAGGUUGAAGGUUAGAUCUUAUAUCUAGCUGAAAUGAUUUGGUGACAGUUCCAAUGGAGUCCGUUGCUCAGGCCAUUUGAGUUUCUGUCAUUAUACUGGGGUAUAGUUGAAGUCAUAUUCUUGUCAUGGAGUUGCCUUCAAAAUACUAUAAGCCCAAAUUUUACGUGGUUGAAUAAAAAAAAAUAAAAAUCUCUUAUUUUAUUUUGUUAUCUUUUCAAUAUCCAGGAAAUUUUAAUUCCCAUAUGAAGCCCCAUAGUGUGAGUGUGACCGUAAUUGGUUGGACUUAAGCUUCAUUCUUCUGAAACCAAACUCUCCACAAUGGAUGUAGAAGAAACGAUUACAAAAUAAAAUAAGAGAUUUUUAUUUUU